This 431-nucleotide ribosomal RNA is filed under the name uncultured bacterium. RNAcentral describes it as "bacterial SSU rRNA". It matches the Rfam family "Bacterial small subunit ribosomal RNA", at positions 958 to 1392 of the family's 1533-position model. The record is from RNAcentral.
AACGCGAAGAACCUUACCUGGUCUUGACAUAGGAAUCUCGCAGAGAUGUGGGAGUGCCUUCGGGAACCUGGAGACAGGUGCUGCAUGGCUGUCGUCAGCUCGUGUCGUGAGAUGUUGGGUUAAGUCCCCCAACGAGCGCAACCCUUACCCUUAGUUGCCAGCAUUCAGUUGGGAACUCUAAGGGGACCGCCGGUGACAAACCGGAGGAAGGUGGGGAUGAGAUCAAGUCAUCAUGGCCCCUAUGACCAGGGGUACACACAUGCUACAAUGGCCAGUACAAAGGGUUGCCAACCCGCGAGGGGGAGCCAAUCCCACAAAGCUGGUCGUAGUCCGGAUCGCAGUCUGCAACUCGGCUGCGUGAAGUCGGAAUCGCUAGUAAUCGUGAAUCACCGAUGUCACGGUGAAUACGUUCCCGGGUCUUGUACACACCG